UGCAGUCGACGGCAGCACAGAAGAGCUUGCUCUUUGGGUGGCGAGUGGCGGACGGGUGAGUAAUGUCUGGGAAACUGCCCGAUGGAGGGGGAUAACUACUGGAAACGGUAGCUAAUACCGCAUAACGUCGCAAGACCAAAGUGGGGGACCUUCGGGCCUCACACCAUCGGAUGUGCCCAGAUGGGAUUAGCUAGUAGGUGGGGUAAUGGCUCACCUAGGCGACGAUCCCUAGCUGGUCUGAGAGGAUGACCAGCCACACUGGAACUGAGACACGGUCCAGACUCCUACGGGAGGCAGCAGUGGGGAAUAUUGCACAAUGGGCGCAAGCCUGAUGCAGCCAUGCCGCGUGUAUGAAGAAGGCCUUCGGGUUGUAAAGUACUUUCAGCGGGGAGGAAGGCGGUGAGGUUAAUAACCUCGCCGAUUGACGUUACCCGCAGAAGAAGCACCGGCUAACUCCGUGCCAGCAGCCGCGGUAAUACGGAGGGUGCAAGCGUUAAUCGGAAUUACUG
RNAcentral lists this ribosomal RNA (509 nucleotides) under Pantoea sp. MCR2.33. RNAcentral's name for it is "bacterial SSU rRNA". It matches the Rfam family "Bacterial small subunit ribosomal RNA", at positions 56 to 556 of the family's 1533-position model. The record is from RNAcentral. Lineage: Bacteria; Pseudomonadati; Pseudomonadota; Gammaproteobacteria; Enterobacterales; Erwiniaceae.